Molecule: ribosomal RNA, 256 nt
Filed under: uncultured bacterium
Lineage: Bacteria
Description: partial 16S ribosomal RNA
Rfam family: Bacterial small subunit ribosomal RNA
Source: RNAcentral
UACGUAGGGUGCAAGCGUUGUCCGGAAUUAUUGGGCGUAAAGAGCUCGUAGGCGGUUCGUCGCGUCGGCUGUGAAAACCUGAGGCUCAACCUCAGGCCUGCAGUCGAUACGGGCGGACUUGAGUACUGCAGGGGAGACUGGAAUUCCUGGUGUAGCGGUGGAAUGCGCAGAUAUCAGGAGGGAACACCGGUGGCGAAGGCGGGUCUCUGGGCAGUAACUGACGCUGAGGAGCGAAAAGCGUGGGGGAGCGAACAGG